CCGCAAUGGGCGAAAGCCUGACGGAGCAAGACCGCGUGAGGGAGGAAGGCUCUUGGGUUGUAAACCUCUUUUCUUGGGGAAUAAAAAAAUGAAGGUACCCAAGGAAUCAGCAUCGGCUAACUCCGUGCCAGCAGCCGCGGUAAUACGGAGGAUGCAAGCGUUAUCCGGAAUUAUUGGGCGUAAAGCGUCCGCAGGUGGCACUUCAAGUCUGCUGUCAAAGACCGGGGCUUAACCCUGGAAAGGCAGUGGAAACUGAAGCGCUAGAGUGUCGUAGGGGUAGAGGGAAUUCCUGGUGUAGCGGUGAAAUGCGUAGAGAUCAGGAAGAACAUCGGUGGCGAAAGCGCUCUACUGGACGACAACUGACACUCAGGGACGAAAGCUAGGGGAGCGAAUGGGAUUAGAUAC
This 405-nucleotide ribosomal RNA is filed under the name uncultured cyanobacterium. RNAcentral describes it as "bacterial SSU rRNA". It matches the Rfam family "Bacterial small subunit ribosomal RNA", at positions 366 to 785 of the family's 1533-position model. The record is from RNAcentral. Lineage: Bacteria; Bacillati; Cyanobacteriota.